GGAGAGGUGGCCGAGUGGCCGAAGGCGCUCGCCUGCUAAGCGAGUAUAUGGGUGAACCAUAUCGAGGGUUCGAAUCCCUCCCUCUCCG
RNAcentral lists this transfer RNA (88 nucleotides) under Deltaproteobacteria bacterium CG2_30_63_29. Its description in RNAcentral is "tRNA-Ser". It matches the Rfam family "tRNA". From Rfam's summary of the family: Transfer RNA (tRNA) molecules are approximately 80 nucleotides in length. The record is from RNAcentral. Lineage: Bacteria; Deltaproteobacteria. RNAcentral also lists the same sequence under 2 other names.